UACGUAGGGUCCGAGCGUUGUCCGGAAUUACUGGGCGUAAAGAGCUCGUAGGUGGUUUGUCGCGUUGUUCGUGAAAACUCACAGCUUAACUGUGGGCGUGCGGGCGAUACGGGCAGACUAGAGUACUGCAGGGGAGACUGGAAUUCCUGGUGUAGCGGUGGAAUGCGCAGAUAUCAGGAGGAACACCGGUGGCGAAGGCGACCAUCUGGACGGAUACUGACGCUGAGACGCGAAAGCGUGGGGAGCAAACAGG
RNAcentral lists this ribosomal RNA (253 nucleotides) under uncultured bacterium. Its description in RNAcentral is "partial 16S ribosomal RNA". It matches the Rfam family "Bacterial small subunit ribosomal RNA", at positions 524 to 776 of the family's 1533-position model. The record is from RNAcentral.